GACGAACGCUGGCGGCGUGCCUAAUACAUGCAAGUAGAACGCUGAAGAGAGGAGCUUACUCUUCUUGGAUGAGUUGCGAACGGGUGAGUAACGCGUAGGUAACCUGCCUUGUAGCGGGGGAUAACUAUUGGAAACGAUAGCUAAUACCGCAUAACAAUGGAUGACACAUGUCAUUUAUUUGAAAGGGGCAAUUGCUCCACUACAAGAUGGACCUGCGUUGUAUUAGCUAGUAGGUGAGGUAAUGGCUCACCUAGGCGACGAUACAUAGCCGACCUGAGAGGGUGAUCGGCCAAACUGGGACUGAGACAAGGCCCAGACUCCUACGGGAGGCAGCAGUAGGGAAUCUUCGGCAAUGGGGGCAACCCUGACCGAGCAACGCCGCGUGAGUGAAGAAGGUUUUCGGAUCGUAAAGCUCUGUUGUAAGUCAAGAACGGGUGUGAGAGUGGAAAGUUCACACUGUGACGGUAGCUUACCAGAAAGGGACGGCUAACUACGUG
This 497-nucleotide ribosomal RNA is filed under the name uncultured bacterium. Its description in RNAcentral is "partial 16S ribosomal RNA". It matches the Rfam family "Bacterial small subunit ribosomal RNA", at positions 28 to 507 of the family's 1533-position model. The record is from RNAcentral.